Molecule: ribosomal RNA, 253 nt
Filed under: uncultured bacterium
Lineage: Bacteria
Description: partial 16S ribosomal RNA
Rfam family: Bacterial small subunit ribosomal RNA
Source: RNAcentral
UACAGAGGGUGCGAGCGUUAAUCGGAAUUACUGGGCGUAAAGCGCACGUAGGCGGCUUUGUAAGUUAGAGGUGAAAGCCCGGAGCUCAACUCCGGAACUGCCUUUAAGACUGCAUCGCUUGAACGUCGGAGAGGUAAGUGGAAUUCCGAGUGUAGAGGUGAAAUUCGUAGAUAUUCGGAAGAACACCAGUGGCGAAGGCGACUUACUGGACGACUGUUGACGCUGAGGUGCGAAAGCGUGGGGAGCAAACAGG